CCCUCCCUCUCUCCGGACUCCUCUUUCCCCUGGUGUUCUCAGAGAAGAAAAAAAAAAAAUUUUUUUAAGUUGCAGAACCAAGGGCUGCUGAAAAGAGAGAGGGAAGGGGGGGAAAAAAAGAAAGAAAAAAACUCCACUUUGCCUAUGCGCAUGCGUGAUGAGGCCGGCCUAUGACAAACUCCACAGGAUUUUAAAGCCGUACCACGGGCUGGGGUGCAGGGGGCGGGAUGCAAUCCCUGCUCGAGCCCCCUUCUCUGGGCUCCCCAUCCCCCCAGCAUCUGCCGAAAGAGAGAGGUCCCCUCCGCAGCCGCCGCCUGCCAGCCGCAGCUCUCUUCGCUCCUUCCAAAACCAAAGACCUGCAGGAGGCUGAACCCCAACUUCCCGGGCUGGACUCUCUGGCUUGCCUGUCCCAGGCCGCUUGCACUGGGGCUGCUGCGCUGGCAGGGAACCUCUUGGAAGACCUCCUCUGCAUUCUUACCCCUGGGGUCCCUAAGACUGGGGGGAGGGGGGUGCUGGGGAAUAGGGUAGGCUCACACAGCCUGCAGCACCCCGGUGUAGUAGAUUUGGGUACCUGGGUGCAAGAUUGAGCAUCUGACUGGGACCCUGGCGCAUCCAGAUACAACGCGUGGUCUUGCCCAGUGGAUCUUGGUGAGUGCCCUCAGAUGCCGGCCAGUGUGUGGACUCUUCAUGCCAUUGCUGUGUUUCAUCCUUGCUGCUUCAUAAGGGACUCCCCGUUCACCAGAUGAAGCCUCAGCAAGUCAACCUGCCUGGACGGCUCAUCACGGUGCGCCCCUGCCUCUGCUGUUCCCUCUGCCUGAAAUGCUGUUCCUCUGGCCUGGGCACCCUCACUCCAUCAGGUAAGAAGCAAGAACAGCCCCCCUGCAUGACCUGGAAAGCCAGCCAGGAGGACACAUUCAGAUGAGUGCUACGAUGGACUUGCCCUAGGAGAAAAAGAGCAUCCUGGCAUCUCAAGGCUGAUUAAGACUGUGAACAUCUCUUCUUGUCAGUUGCAGCCGCAUGACUCUGAAUUUGUAAUAACAAACCAGUAAAUGAGAAAAAUUUUAAGAGAGAUGCAUAACAGCCAAAUAUCCAAAUAAAAAGGCCAGAAUUUAACUAUCUAGUCAAUUACUUGGUCUUCCUGACAACAAACUGCGCACCAAACAUCUAAGAAGCUGAUGGCAUUUUUUAACUUUUCAAGAAUGUUCUGACAUCGUAACAAUUUCACAUCUUAUAGAAUUUUAACUGGAGUGGCUCUAAUACAAUAUCUUACUUCUAUGCAAAUAUUCUCAACCUAUUUGAAAGGGACCACAAAUAAUUCUAGAUAGCAGAAUUAAAUCCCAAGUCUUUUUAAUUUUGUGUACUUUGCCCCUAUAAUUACCAAUGCUCAGUAAAGUGACACUGUUAUGAUUUCCCAAACCUGUCUCAAUAAAUCAGUGAAUUUUGGAUAAAA
This is a long non-coding RNA of Miniopterus natalensis, 1450 nucleotides long. RefSeq lists it as uncharacterized. The record is from RefSeq and is a predicted model, not a curated record. Lineage: Eukaryota; Metazoa; Chordata; Mammalia; Chiroptera; Miniopteridae.